UUAUGCCAAUCUUUUUUGACAAACUCUAGUGGUACACCAUUCCCAAAAUCACUUCCUCAUUUUAAGCUUUCAUUAUUUGAUGAGUGAGGCAUUUUUCGGAAAGCCUUACAUGUGUAUAAUGUUGAGAGUAUCGGGAACGACAAUGCUUGGUCUUCAUUCUUGCUAGAUUAGGCACUCUAUUGUCUAGCUAUAGGUGGGGGUGAGUGUGGUGACUAUGGUUUGGAAGCAUGAAAAGUUCAAAGGAAAAGAAUAGACUAUUUGUGUUUAAAUGGAUAAUCUUAUUGGAAUUAAUAGAUAAA
This 299-nucleotide long non-coding RNA is filed under the name Brassica napus (rape). Its description in RNAcentral is "long non-coding RNA (BNAP_LNC020284)". Lineage: Eukaryota; Viridiplantae; Streptophyta; Magnoliopsida; Brassicales; Brassicaceae. The record is from RNAcentral.